RNAcentral lists this transfer RNA (86 nucleotides) under uncultured Clostridium sp. RNAcentral's name for it is "tRNA-Ser(cag)". It matches the Rfam family "tRNA". From Rfam's summary of the family: Transfer RNA (tRNA) molecules are approximately 80 nucleotides in length. Their secondary structure includes four short double-helical elements and three loops (D, anti-codon, and T loops). Lineage: Bacteria; Bacillati; Bacillota; Clostridia; Eubacteriales; Clostridiaceae. The record is from RNAcentral.
UGCGGGAAUGCCGGAAUUGGCAGACGGGCAUGAUUCAGGUUCAUGUGUACGAAUGUACGUGAGGGUUCAAGUCCCUUUUCCCGCAU